This 700-nucleotide ribosomal RNA is filed under the name uncultured bacterium. Its description in RNAcentral is "bacterial SSU rRNA". It matches the Rfam family "Bacterial small subunit ribosomal RNA", at positions 8 to 752 of the family's 1533-position model. The record is from RNAcentral.
AGAGUUUGAUCAUGGCUCAGAACGAACGCUGGCGGCAGGCUUAACACAUGCAAGUCGAACGCGUGUAGCAAUACACGAGUGGCGCACGGGUGAGUAACGCGUGGAUAUCUGCCUUUUGGUUCGGAAUAACCCCGGGAAACUGGGGCUAAUACCGGAUGGUUCCUUCGGGAUAAAGAUUUAUCGCCAAAAGAUGAGUCCGCGUACGAUUAGCUAGUUGGUGAGGUAAUGGCUCACCAAGGCGACGAUCGUUAGCUGGUCUGAGAGGACGAUCAGCCACACUGGGACUGAGACACGGCCCAGACUCCUACGGGAGGCAGCAGUGGGGAAUAUUGGACAAUGGGGGCAACCCUGAUCCAGCCAUGCCGCGUGAGUGAUGAAGGCCUUCGGGUUGUAAAGCUCUUUUGGCGGGGACGAUGAUGACGGUACCCGCAGAAUAAGCCCCGGCUAACUUCGUGCCAGCAGCCGCGGUAAGACGAAGGGGGCUAGCGUUGUUCGGAAUUACUGGGCGUAAAGCGAGUGUAGGUGGUUGCCAUAGUCAGGUGUGAAAGCCUUGAGCUCAACUCAAGAAAUGCACUUGAUACUGGGCGACUAGAGGACCGGAGAGGAUAGUGGAAUUCCCAGUGUAGUGGUGAAAUACGUAGAGAUUGGGAAGAACACCAGUGGCGAAGGCGGCUAUCUGGACGGUUUCUGACACUAAGAC